UCAUUUUAAAAGUGUGUGGCACCCACUCUCACCCCACUCUCUUUCUCUUGCUUCUGCUUUUGCCAUGUGAAGUGCCUACUCCUGUUUUGCCUUCCACCAUGAUUGAAAACUCCCUGAAGCUUCAAGCAGAUGCCAGCACCAAGGAUUCCUUUAAAUCCUGCAGAACUGAAAAUUGGCCUGUAAGCGUCUCCAAAAAUCUGUUACGUAUAUGUAUACCUUCAGGAUGAACAGGCUGGAUGUUUUGAUAUACCACCACCACCUAGACCCUCCUUCAAAAACAUAUUCUCCCAGGAUUUUAGAGUGCUGCCAGAAGAUAGCUCUCAGCUAUUAGCAGUCAUUGGAGACAAUUAUCUCACUCAAGAUUAACCCAACCUCUUGGGCAGCCGCCAUCCAAUAAUUAGGCACUAUCAGAAUAUAAAGACCCAGACCUCUUUCUCUAGCUUGGGAUAACUCUGUAGUGCCUUCCAGACUGAGAACUCACUUUGGGGUAAGAUAAGUCCCUAGUUAUGACUGCAUUUUAGGUCACUAUUUUUCUAUACCUAAUUGUUUUCUUCUCAUACCUUUUGCAGGUAAUGUUCCCAAAUGAACACUUCUUAACAAAUCAUUUGCAUGCUAACCUUUGUCUAGGGAGCGUCUUCCCUGGGGAAUUUAAUAUGCCAUAGAUGCCAUGUUCUCAAGCCUUUCUACUACAAGCGGUCAGAAAAGAAUUGUAUGAUUUUUUUUUUCCUUUUAUUCUUAACAGUUCUUAGCAUGGCACAGUAUACAGGAUAAAUAUAUAUUAAAUUAAUCUAGUUUGUUUAAACUCAUUUUCAAUUUAAACAUAAUAAAAUAUAAAACUUGUGGAAGUCUGUUUGGAUCUAAAGUACAUGCCUUUUCCAUUAUAUCACUUUGCACUAACACCUCACACAAUACCUUAUGUUGUUUUAGCAUGCAUUAUCUUUCAGAAUAAUGACACAUCUCAGCAUUUGUUAACUCAUUGAAGAAAUUCUAUCAGGCAUUGAAAGUGGCACUACAAAAAUAAAUGACUAGGGCAUUGUUCCUGUCCUAGAGAUGUUCAUGCUGUAGCUUAGGGAAACAAACUAAAAUAUGGAUAAGCACAAUAUAAUGAAAUGAGGGUUAAGAAAGGGGCAUUAGCAAAGUGCUAAGUGAAAAAGAAGGAACAAGUCUGCUUCUAUGGUGCUCUACUGUGACGUUUUCUUUUAGAAAAAGUGAUUAACCUGAAUGUAGAAGGGUAUGUAAUUUUUUAGAUAAACAAGUAGAUGAAGGCGCAUAAAAAGGGUGCCGCAGACAUAAGGCAUC
This 1299-nucleotide long non-coding RNA is filed under the name Papio anubis (olive baboon). Its description in RNAcentral is "lncRNA (ENSPANG00000049494.1)". The record is from RNAcentral. Lineage: Eukaryota; Metazoa; Chordata; Mammalia; Primates; Cercopithecidae.